Molecule: long non-coding RNA, 562 nt
Filed under: Phasianus colchicus (ring-necked pheasant)
Lineage: Eukaryota; Metazoa; Chordata; Aves; Galliformes; Phasianidae
Description: lncRNA (ENSPCLG00000016420.1)
Source: RNAcentral
AACAGCUGCUAGCUGUGGACCCUUGGAGUAAAUCUGUAUGCAUGGCCUGCAUAGUAUGGGACCUAACACAACUGGACAGUUGUUUGGAGACUCAACACUGCGUUUUGAGCUGCUUUCUCUAACCAGCACCAGGCCAGUAGUGUGUCUUUGGAUUUUCUAAUCAGUUCCAGCUCCUGAAGCAUAACACACCUGCCUCCCCUUCUUGGGACUCUUAAGGUGGAUUCCAGCUGGCCUGUGCUAUUGCAUGCUUAUGAAACCUCAACCCUACCAUCAUGGGAAAGUGUAAGAGAGCACACGUCCCAGCCUGCCCAACAUCUGCAUCAAACGCUAAGUCAAAAGCUUUUAGAUUCCAACAAUGAGGUUGUUCCUUGGUGUAACAAGAAGAUAGACUAGUUCAGAAAUAACAAGGAAUCACUUCAUAUCUGGACCCUGAAGAAGGCACCGAUACUCCCAACACUUUUUAUCAGCACCUCAUGUUUGCUGGUGGUCUUUGCGCUAUCACAUUUUUAUGUUAUAGCAACAUAGAAAAAGACCUAUAUUGCACCUACUAGUUAUCUGAGGU